GAUGAACGCUGGCGGCGUGCCUAAUACAUGCAAGUCGAGCGGAGCGGGGACGGGUGAGUAACACGUGGAUAACCUCCUAUAAGACUGGGAUAAAUUCGGGGAACCGGAGCUUAACCCGCUACUGAUAGAUGGUUCCGCGAUGCAUUAGCUAGUUGGUAAGGUAACGGCUUACCAAGGCAACGAUGCAUAGCUGACCUGAGAGGGUGAUCAGCCACACUGGAACUGAGACACGGUCCAGACUCCGACGGGAGGCAGCAGUAGGGAAUCGUCCGCAAUGGGCGAAAGCCUGACGGAGCCACGCCGCGUGAGUGAUGAAGGUCUUCGGAUCGUAAAACUCUGUUAUUAGGGAAGCGGUACCUAAUCAGAAAGCCACGGCUAACUCCGUGCCAGCAGCCGCGGUAAUUC
RNAcentral lists this ribosomal RNA (405 nucleotides) under uncultured bacterium. RNAcentral describes it as "partial 16S ribosomal RNA". It matches the Rfam family "Bacterial small subunit ribosomal RNA", at positions 28 to 526 of the family's 1533-position model. The record is from RNAcentral.